Molecule: ribosomal RNA, 807 nt
Filed under: Agrococcus sp.
Lineage: Bacteria; Bacillati; Actinomycetota; Actinomycetes; Micrococcales; Microbacteriaceae
Description: bacterial SSU rRNA
Rfam family: Bacterial small subunit ribosomal RNA
Source: RNAcentral
CGAUGAAGGAGGAGCUUGCUCCUCCGGAUUAGUGGCGAACGGGUGAGUAACACGUGAGCAAUCUGCCCUUGACUCUGGGAUAAGCGCUGGAAACGGCGUCUAAUACCGGAUACGACCCGCGGAGGCAUCUCCUGCGGGUGGAAAGAACUUCGGUCAAGGAUGAGCUCGCGGCCUAUCAGCUUGUUGGUGAGGUAAUGGCUCACCAAGGCGACGACGGGUAGCCGGCCUGAGAGGGUGACCGGCCACACUGGGACUGAGACACGGCCCAGACUCCUACGGGAGGCAGCAGUGGGGAAUAUUGCACAAUGGGCGCAAGCCUGAUGCAGCAACGCCGCGUGAGGGACGACGGCCUUCGGGUUGUAAACCUCUUUUAGCAGGGAAGAAGCGAGAGUGACGGUACCUGCAGAAAAAGCACCGGCUAACUACGUGCCAGCAGCCGCGGUAAUACGUAGGGUGCAAGCGUUGUCCGGAAUUAUUGGGCGUAAAGAGCUCGUAGGCGGUCUGUCGCGUCUGCUGUGAAAACCCGAGGCUCAACCUCGGGCUUGCAGUGGGUACGGGCAGACUAGAGUGCGGUAGGGGAGAUUGGAAUUCCUGGUGUAGCGGUGGAAUGCGCAGAUAUCAGGAGGAACACCGAUGGCGAAGGCAGAUCUCUGGGCCGUAACUGACGCUGAGGAGCGAAAGCGUGGGGAGCAAACAGGCUUAGAUACCCUGGUAGUCCACGCCGUAAACGUUGGGAACUAGAUGUGGGGACCAUUCCACGGUCUCCGUGUCGUAGCUAACGCAUUAAGUUCCCCGCCUGGGGAGUAC